RNAcentral lists this ribosomal RNA (303 nucleotides) under uncultured bacterium. Its description in RNAcentral is "partial 16S ribosomal RNA". It matches the Rfam family "Bacterial small subunit ribosomal RNA", at positions 507 to 807 of the family's 1533-position model. The record is from RNAcentral.
AGCAGUCGCCACGGGAAUACGUAGGGUGCAAGCGUUAAUCGGAAUUACUGGGCGUAAAGCGUGCGCAGGCGGUUAUAUAAGACAGAUGUGAAAUCCCCGGGCUCAACCUGGGAACUGCAUUUGUGACUGUAUAGCUAGAGUACGGCAGAGGGGGAUGGAAUUCCGCGUGUAGCAGUGAAAUGCGUAGAUAUGCGGAGGAACACCGAUGGCGAAGGCAAUCCCCUGGGCCUGUACUGACGCUCAUGCACGAAAGCGUGGGGAGCAAACAGGAUUAGAUACCCGCGUAGUCCCUGUCUCUUAUAC